RNAcentral lists this ribosomal RNA (1388 nucleotides) under Limosilactobacillus reuteri. RNAcentral's name for it is "bacterial SSU rRNA". It matches the Rfam family "Bacterial small subunit ribosomal RNA", at positions 75 to 1434 of the family's 1533-position model. Lineage: Bacteria; Bacillati; Bacillota; Bacilli; Lactobacillales; Lactobacillaceae. The record is from RNAcentral.
GGUGCUUGCACCUGAUUGACGAUGGAUCACCAGUGAGUGGCGGACGGGUGAGUAACACGUAGGUAACCUGCCCCGGAGCGGGGGAUAACAUUUGGAAACAGAUGCUAAUACCGCAUAACAACAAAAGCCACAUGGCUUUUGUUUGAAAGAUGGCUUUGGCUAUCACUCUGGGAUGGACCUGCGGUGCAUUAGCUAGUUGGUAAGGUAACGGCUUACCAAGGCGAUGAUGCAUAGCCGAGUUGAGAGACUGAUCGGCCACAAUGGAACUGAGACACGGUCCAUACUCCUACGGGAGGCAGCAGUAGGGAAUCUUCCACAAUGGGCGCAAGCCUGAUGGAGCAACACCGCGUGAGUGAAGAAGGGUUUCGGCUCGUAAAGCUCUGUUGUUGGAGAAGAACGUGCGUGAGAGUAACUGUUCACGCAGUGACGGUAUCCAACCAGAAAGUCACGGCUAACUACGUGCCAGCAGCCGCGGUAAUACGUAGGUGGCAAGCGUUAUCCGGAUUUAUUGGGCGUAAAGCGAGCGCAGGCGGUUGCUUAGGUCUGAUGUGAAAGCCUUCGGCUUAACCGAAGAAGUGCAUCGGAAACCGGGCGACUUGAGUGCAGAAGAGGACAGUGGAACUCCAUGUGUAGCGGUGGAAUGCGUAGAUAUAUGGAAGAACACCAGUGGCGAAGGCGGCUGUCUGGUCUGCAACUGACGCUGAGGCUCGAAAGCAUGGGUAGCGAACAGGAUUAGAUACCCUGGUAGUCCAUGCCGUAAACGAUGAGUGCUAGGUGUUGGAGGGUUUCCGCCCUUCAGUGCCGGAGCUAACGCAUUAAGCACUCCGCCUGGGGAGUACGACCGCAAGGUUGAAACUCAAAGGAAUUGACGGGGGCCCGCACAAGCGGUGGAGCAUGUGGUUUAAUUCGAAGCUACGCGAAGAACCUUACCAGGUCUUGACAUCUUGCGCUAACCUUAGAGAUAAGGCGUUCCCUUCGGGGACGCAAUGACAGGUGGUGCAUGGUCGUCGUCAGCUCGUGUCGUGAGAUGUUGGGUUAAGUCCCGCAACGAGCGCAACCCUUGUUACUAGUUGCCAGCAUUAAGUUGGGCACUCUAGUGAGACUGCCGGUGACAAACCGGAGGAAGGUGGGGACGACGUCAGAUCAUCAUGCCCCUUAUGACCUGGGCUACACACGUGCUACAAUGGACGGUACAACGAGUCGCAAGCUCGCGAGAGUAAGCUAAUCUCUUAAAGCCGUUCUCAGUUCGGACUGUAGGCUGCAACUCGCCUACACGAAGUCGGAAUCGCUAGUAAUCGCGGAUCAGCAUGCCGCGGUGAAUACGUUCCCGGGCCUUGUACACACCGCCCGUCACACCAUGGGAGUUUGUAACGCCCAAAGUCGGUGGC